GAAAUGCGAUAAGUAAUGUGAAUUGCAGAAUUCAGUGAAUCAUCGAAUCUUUGAACGCAUCUUGCGCUCCAUGGUAUUCCUUGGAGCAUGCCUGUUUGAGUAUCAUGAAAUCUUCAAAGUAAAUCUUUUGUUAACUCAAUUGGUUUCUACUUUGGUAUUGGAGGUCUUUGCAGCUUCACACCUGCUCCUCUUUGUUCAUUAGCUGGAUCUCAGUGUUAUGCUUGGUUCCACUCGGCGUGAUAAGUUAUCUAUCGCUGAGGACACUGUAAAAGGUGGCCAAGGUAAAUGCAGAUGAACCGCUUCUAAUAGUCCAUUGACUUGGACAAUACUUUUAUGAUCUGAUCUCAAAUCAGGUAGGACUACCCGCUGAACUUAAGC
This 378-nucleotide unclassified non-coding RNA is filed under the name plant metagenome. Its description in RNAcentral is "partial contains 5.8S ribosomal RNA, internal transcribed spacer 2, and large subunit ribosomal RNA". The stretch from base 1 to 105 matches the Rfam family "5.8S ribosomal RNA", at positions 50 to 154 of the family's 154-position model. The record is from RNAcentral.